This 253-nucleotide ribosomal RNA is filed under the name uncultured bacterium. RNAcentral's name for it is "partial 16S ribosomal RNA". It matches the Rfam family "Bacterial small subunit ribosomal RNA", at positions 524 to 776 of the family's 1533-position model. The record is from RNAcentral.
UACGUAGGGUGCAGGCGUUAAUCGGAAUUACUGGGCGUAAAGCGUGCGCAGGCGGUCUUUUAAGUCAGAUGUGAAAUCCCCGGGCUUAACCUGGGAACUGCGCUUGUAACUGGCAAGCUGGAGUGUGGCAGAGGGGGGUGGAAUUCCACGUGUAGCAGUGAAAUGCGUAGAGAUGUGGAGGAACACCGAUGGCGAAGGCAGCCCCCUGGGCUAACACUGACGCUCAUGCACGAAAGCGUGGGGAGCAAACAGG